GUCUUGGUAGUCUAAAGGCUUAGCACGCUCGUACGGAAUACAAGAGAUCCGGGUUCGACUCCCGGCCGAGAUA
This 73-nucleotide transfer RNA is filed under the name Mycetomoellerius zeteki. Its description in RNAcentral is "Trachymyrmex zeteki tRNA". It matches the Rfam family "tRNA". Rfam says of the family: Transfer RNA (tRNA) molecules are approximately 80 nucleotides in length. Their secondary structure includes four short double-helical elements and three loops (D, anti-codon, and T loops). Lineage: Eukaryota; Metazoa; Arthropoda; Insecta; Hymenoptera; Formicidae. The record is from Rfam by way of RNAcentral.